GCACAGUAGUGUGUGUGCGUUCACUCUCUGGGUUUGGCCCAAGCAGCAUUCACCUCUGUUAUAGUCAAGGACAGAUAAGAGCUAUGCAGAUUGCGUGUCAGGACCUCGGCGGCAAGGGGGAAGCUCCGCGUCUGGAGUUCGGGAUGCUCUUUGCGAGGAGAGGAGGGACAUGUGGCUACCUCGUAGCUGACAAUUACGUGCUGCGUACCCGAGCCCGAGCGCUGGAGAACGGGUGAUCGCGC
This 242-nucleotide long non-coding RNA is filed under the name Struthio camelus australis. RNAcentral describes it as "lncRNA (ENSSCUG00000001769.1)". Lineage: Eukaryota; Metazoa; Chordata; Aves; Struthioniformes; Struthionidae. The record is from RNAcentral.